RNAcentral lists this ribosomal RNA (513 nucleotides) under uncultured bacterium. Its description in RNAcentral is "partial 16S ribosomal RNA". It matches the Rfam family "Bacterial small subunit ribosomal RNA", at positions 28 to 523 of the family's 1533-position model. The record is from RNAcentral.
GACGAACGCUGGCGGCAUGCCUAAUACAUGCAAGUCGAGCGAACAGAUGAAGUGCUUGCACUUCUGACGUUAGCGGCGAACGGGUGAGUAACACGUAAGGAAUCUACCUAUAAGCGGGGGAUAACAUUCGGAAACGGGUGCUAAUACCGCAUAAUAUCUUCUUCCGCAUGGAAGAAGAUUGAAAGACGGCUCUGCUGUCACUUAUAGAUGACCUUGCGGUGCAUUAGUUAGUUGGUGGGGUGACGGCCUACCAAGACGAUGAUGCAUAGCCGACCUGAGAGGGUGAUCGGCCACAUUGGGACUGAGACACGGCCCAAACUCCUACGGGAGGCAGCAGUAGGGAAUCUUCCGCAAUGGGCGAAAGCCUGACGGAGCAAUACCGCGUGUGUGAAGAAGGCCUUAGGGUUGUAAAGCACUUUCAGUGGGGAGGAAGGGUGUAAUGCUAAUACCAUUGCACAUUGACGUUACCUACAGAAGAAGCACCGGCUAACUCUGUGCCAGCAGCCGCCGUAA